This 447-nucleotide ribosomal RNA is filed under the name uncultured bacterium. Its description in RNAcentral is "partial 16S ribosomal RNA". It matches the Rfam family "Bacterial small subunit ribosomal RNA", at positions 29 to 523 of the family's 1533-position model. The record is from RNAcentral.
AGCGAACGCUGGCGGCAGGCUUAACACAUGCAAGUCGAACGGUCCUUCGGGAUAGUGGCGGACGGGUGAGUAACACGUGGGAACGUACCCUUAGGUUCGGAACAACACAGGGAAACUUGUGCUAAUACCGGAUAAGCCCUUCGGGGGAAAGAUUUAUCGCCUUUGGAGCGGCCCGCGUCUGAUUAGCUUGUCGGUGAGGUAAUGGCUCACCAAGGCUACGAUCAGUAGCUGGUCUGAGAGGAUGGCCAGCCACACUGGGACUGAGACACGGCCCAGACUCCUACGGGAGGCAGCAGUGGGGAAUCUUGCGCAAUGGGCGAAAGCCUGACGCAGCCAUGCCGUGUGGAUGAUGAAGGUCUUAGGAUUGUAAAAUCCUUUCACCGGGGACGAUAAUGACGGUACCCGGAGAAGAAGCCCCGGCUAACUUCGUGCCAGCCGCCGCAGUAA